This 468-nucleotide long non-coding RNA is filed under the name Rattus norvegicus (Norway rat). RNAcentral describes it as "long non-coding RNA NONRATT025817". Lineage: Eukaryota; Metazoa; Chordata; Mammalia; Rodentia; Muridae. The record is from RNAcentral.
UCAGUUCCCAAGUGGGCAUGCCCCUGUCUGUGUUUGCUUUACACAGGAGCAAGCUCCGGUCCAGAGGUGAAGAGGCAUGUCUAAGUCACAGAGCAAAUGGGCAGCCACAUCAGGAAUCACCAUCAGUCAGGAAUCACAGCAGCUGAGUCUCACGCCAAGCCCUUGGCAAAGAUACUGUCUCCACAUUGGAUGCUCCAAAUGGACAGCCCGUUUCUCCAUAAAUACACAUGUGACCAAGUGCUCUUUGCAGUUCCGUCCUCAGGAGCCCUUCUCCCCAGGAGCCUCCAUCAGCAACAGCCUCGGCUUUUGAUUACUGUGAAGGACUCUGUCAUUAGGCAAAGCUGGUUUGGAUGCCGAAGCAAUCCUUUGGGCCCUGCCUGUGAUCUCCCAUCCUCUCUUCCUUGCACAGAUAUGAAGUUUUAGGAUUAACUGCCAUCCUUUGAAAUAAUAGAAACAAUAUUAAAUGUG